This 61-nucleotide microRNA precursor is filed under the name Pristionchus pacificus. RNAcentral describes it as "mir-8364 microRNA precursor family". It matches the Rfam family "mir-8364 microRNA precursor family". The record is from Rfam by way of RNAcentral. Lineage: Eukaryota; Metazoa; Nematoda; Chromadorea; Rhabditida; Neodiplogasteridae.
UCUUCAUUUCACAUGCUCUCUCACAGGUCAGAGAAGCGAGAGAGUGUGGAAAAUGAAGAGA